CAAUUACUCGCUUCGUUUUUACAAGUACUGACAUCUCUUAAUCCUGCCUAUACCAUUUAUCCUGUGUAUUAUUCACUCAGUUAAAAUUAAUAUUAUUCUAAUCAUCUCAAAUCGGGCGAUCUCAUCUGGUUUGUGAGUCGGACUAGUUCAACUUCAUAGACCACUAAGCUCUAAACAUGAUCUCAAAUAAAGUCACCAUUUACUACCCUGAGAUAAAAUUGCUGGUGACUUCAUUCGUAGGUAUCAUCAAUGACAAUAUCUAUAAAUGGAAAUACGCUAUAUACCUUGCGUUUCUUAAAUAGCUGAGUACAACCUGUUGGACGACUUCUCUAGUAGUAGUCCGUAAACUUGGAAUUGACUCCAGCUCCAUUGAUUGUCUGUUCAGAACUAGCACAGUGUCCUUCACAUUUCUGUACUAGACAACCUAAACUUCGAAAGCUUUGACCUCCUACUAUGCAACUCCAUGAAACUCCGUAGUUGUUGUCACAAACCAACUUAGCUUGACUAUCAUCGACAUAUUGAUAUUGAACAUUAUACUGAUGCGCUAUCAACACACCACAAAAAGCAAGAGACACGGUUUGUCUCUUGUUCGUCCCUUGUACGUUGCCAAAGCUACGGUCCUAAUCCUUAAUCAAUAUACUCGUUGAAGGAUUGAUAUUUUCAGGUCCUUCAUAAACACUGUCAUCAAAUAUAUAACAAUCAGUGGUAUACUGACCUGUUAGAAGUUGACAUAAGCAAGCAUCGGUAUCAG
RNAcentral lists this long non-coding RNA (751 nucleotides) under Schizosaccharomyces pombe (fission yeast). The record is from RNAcentral. Lineage: Eukaryota; Fungi; Ascomycota; Schizosaccharomycetes; Schizosaccharomycetales; Schizosaccharomycetaceae.